Molecule: ribosomal RNA, 271 nt
Filed under: uncultured prokaryote
Description: partial 16S ribosomal RNA
Rfam family: Bacterial small subunit ribosomal RNA
Source: RNAcentral
UACGUAGGGGGCAAGCGUUGUCCGGAAUUACUGGGCGUAAAGGGUGCGUAGGCGGCAUGUUAAGUUGGAUGUGAAAUACCCGGGCUCAACCUGGGGGGUGCAUCCAAAACUGGCAAGCUAGAGUGCAGGAGAGGAAAGCGGAAUUCCUAGUGUAGCGGUGAAAUGCGUAGAUAUUAGGAGGAACACCAGUGGCGAAGGCGGCUUUCUGGACUGCAACUGACGCUGAGGCACGAAAGCGUGGGGAGCAAACAGGAUUAGAUACCCUGGUAGU